This 452-nucleotide ribosomal RNA is filed under the name uncultured bacterium. RNAcentral describes it as "bacterial SSU rRNA". It matches the Rfam family "Bacterial small subunit ribosomal RNA", at positions 29 to 526 of the family's 1533-position model. The record is from RNAcentral.
AACGAACGCUGGCGGCAGGCUUAACACAUGCAAGUCGAGCGAAGACUUCGGUCUUAGCGGCGGACGGGUGAGUAACGCGUGGGAACAUACCCUUUGCUACGGAACAGUCCCGGGAAACUGGGUUUAAUACCGUAUACGCCCUUACGGGGAAACAUUUAUCGCCAAAAGAUCGGCCCGCGUCUGAUUAGCUAGUUGGUGGGGUAAUGGCCCACCAAGGCGACGAUCAGUAGCUGGUCUGAGAGGAUGAUCAGCCACACUGGGACUGAGACACGGCCCAGACUCCUACGGGAGGCAGCAGUGGGGAAUAUUGGACAAUGGGGGCAACCCUGAUCCAGCCAUGCCGCGUGAGUGAUGAAGGCCUUAGGGUUGUAAAGCUCUUUCGUUGGGGAAGAUAAUGACGGUACCCAAAGAAGAAGCCCCGGCUAACUUCGUGCCAGCAGCCGCAGUAAAAC